GGCCUGAUGGUCUAGAGGCAUGAUUCUCUCUUAGGGUCGGCGCAAGUCGACAAUUUGGGAGAGGUCCCGGGUUCAAUCCCCGGUUAGGCCC
RNAcentral lists this transfer RNA (91 nucleotides) under Rhodotorula graminis WP1. RNAcentral's name for it is "tRNA-Pro". Lineage: Eukaryota; Fungi; Basidiomycota; Microbotryomycetes; Sporidiobolales; Sporidiobolaceae. The record is from RNAcentral.